GAAAUGCGAUAAUUAAUGUGAAUUGCAGAAUUCAGUGAAUCAUCGAGUCUUUGAACGCACAUUGCGCCCCCUGGUAUUCCGGGGGGCAUGCCUGUCCGAGCGUCAUUGCUGCCCUCAAGCACGGCUUGUGUGUUGGGCUUCCGUCCCUGGCAACGGGGACGGGCCCAAAAGGCAGUGGCGGCACCAUGUCUGGUCCUCGAGCGUAUGGGGCUUUGUCACCCGCUCCCGUAGGUCCAGCUGGCAGCUAGCCUCGCAACCAAUCUUUUUAACCAGGUUGACCUCGGAUCAUGUAGGGAUACCCGCUGAACUUAAGC
This 314-nucleotide unclassified non-coding RNA is filed under the name plant metagenome. RNAcentral describes it as "partial contains 5.8S ribosomal RNA, internal transcribed spacer 2, and large subunit ribosomal RNA". The stretch from base 1 to 105 matches the Rfam family "5.8S ribosomal RNA", at positions 50 to 154 of the family's 154-position model. The record is from RNAcentral.